This 75-nucleotide transfer RNA is filed under the name Rickettsiales bacterium. RNAcentral describes it as "tRNA-Thr". It matches the Rfam family "tRNA". Rfam says of the family: Transfer RNA (tRNA) molecules are approximately 80 nucleotides in length. The record is from RNAcentral. Lineage: Bacteria; Pseudomonadati; Pseudomonadota; Alphaproteobacteria; Rickettsiales.
GCCGAAUUAGCUCAACGGUAGAGCAACCGCCUUGUAAGCGGUAGGUUGUCAGUUCGAAUCCGACAUUCGGCACCA